This 71-nucleotide transfer RNA is filed under the name Cyclopsetta fimbriata (spotfin flounder). RNAcentral describes it as "tRNA-Gly". It matches the Rfam family "tRNA". From Rfam's summary of the family: Transfer RNA (tRNA) molecules are approximately 80 nucleotides in length. Their secondary structure includes four short double-helical elements and three loops (D, anti-codon, and T loops). Further hydrogen bonds mediate the characteristic L-shaped molecular structure. tRNAs have two regions of fundamental functional importance: the anti-codon, which is responsible for specific mRNA codon recognition, and the 3' end, to which the tRNAs corresponding amino acid is attached (by aminoacyl-tRNA synthetases). tRNAs cope with the degeneracy of the genetic code in two manners: having more than one tRNA (with a specific anti-codon) for a particular amino acid; and 'wobble' base-pairing, i.e. permitting non-standard base-pairing at the 3rd anti-codon position. The record is from RNAcentral. Lineage: Eukaryota; Metazoa; Chordata; Actinopteri; Pleuronectiformes; Cyclopsettidae.
ACCUUUCUAAUAUUAAAUUAGUAUUAGUGACUUCCAAUCAUUCAGUCUUGGUUAAAAUCCAAGGAAAGGUA